This is a long non-coding RNA of Lacerta agilis (Sand lizard), 937 nucleotides long. RefSeq lists it as uncharacterized. The transcript has 2 exons. Lineage: Eukaryota; Metazoa; Chordata; Lepidosauria; Squamata; Lacertidae. The record is from RefSeq and is a predicted model, not a curated record.
CUCUCCAGUAAGCUUCUGAGAUCUGCACUGAGUGAGAUAAACAUCAGGUGGAUAUAUGUACUCAAGAGUCCCUUGACCAAUGAAUGGAGCUGAAACGUAAGAAUUUCCCAAUUCAGAGCUGGGAGAGUGCCUAACUACAUUGGAAGAGAUCCACUUUUACAAGAAGAGUGCAGUCACAUUGCCACUCAAAAACUUGUGUGCUGGAGAGAGAUUCUGCAACCUUAUGGAAUAUAAGUGGGAUCUCCCUAAGCGUAAGUGAUCAGAGGAUACCCGGAUAAAGUCUUUUCCCACCUGAAAAGCUACUCUUGUUCCUGUCAUUCUUUCUUAUAUAUAUGAUUCCAAGCCCCCACCAUGCGGUCCUCCGAGGUCUCCUGCUCAUUGCUGGCACAUCCGGCCAUCCUUCUUGGGCUUCUGCUUGUGCGGUCCGGUGAAGGACAGUCCCGUGAAGCUUUUGUUUGGAAGCACAUUGAUUACCCCAAAAGCUACCCAACCUCCCACCCUGACACCUACUGCACGCUGAUGAUGAUGCAGAAAGGGAUGACUCGAUAUGUUUGCAAAGAGACAAGUACCUUCAUCAACGACUUCCCCAUAAGUGUCGUGCAAGUGUGCAGAGGGAGAGGGACUCCUUCAAGUAACUAUUUUGACAGCACAGACUCCUUCGAUAUGGUCAUCUGCAGAUACACAGGUGGCCCACCGCCUUAUAACUGCAGGUACAGUGGAAACCCUGCACACUUGCGCAUUCGCGUGACCUGCACCGGCAACCACCCUACUCACUAUGUGACUCAAAGGACAUAGGCAAAUGGGGAAGCAACUCACCCUCCAUCUGCUAAAGUUAGAAGCUGUUGGACAUGUUGGCCCAAACUCGGUUCUAUUAUCCUGCAUGCUUUCUCCUUGGUGUAUCUCUGUAACAUAUCCACAAUACAAACUUAUCCUGCUC